This 229-nucleotide ribosomal RNA is filed under the name uncultured bacterium. RNAcentral describes it as "partial 16S ribosomal RNA". It matches the Rfam family "Bacterial small subunit ribosomal RNA", at positions 104 to 334 of the family's 1533-position model. The record is from RNAcentral.
CGGGGUGAGUAAUGUCUGGGAAACUGCCUGAUGGAGGGGGAUAACUACUGGAAGCGGUAGCUAAUACCGCAUAACGUCGCAAGACCAAAGAGGGGGACCUUAGGGCCUCUUGCCAUCGGAUGUGCCCAGAUGGGAUUAGCUAGUAGGUGGGGUAACGGCUCACCUAGGCGACGAUCCCUAGCUGGUCUGAGAGGAUGACCAGCCACACUGGAACUGAGACACGGUCCAG